RNAcentral lists this RNase P RNA (407 nucleotides) under Chelatococcus sambhunathii. Its description in RNAcentral is "RNase P RNA component class A". It matches the Rfam family "Bacterial RNase P class A". Rfam says of the family: Ribonuclease P (RNase P) is a ubiquitous endoribonuclease, found in archaea, bacteria and eukarya as well as chloroplasts and mitochondria. Its best characterised activity is the generation of mature 5'-ends of tRNAs by cleaving the 5'-leader elements of precursor-tRNAs. The record is from RNAcentral. Lineage: Bacteria; Pseudomonadati; Pseudomonadota; Alphaproteobacteria; Hyphomicrobiales; Chelatococcaceae.
CCAGUCGGCCGGACGGCCGCUCCGACCACCAAGGGUCGGGGAGGAAAGUCCGGGCUCCACGGAAGCACGGCGCCGGAUAACGUCCGGCGGGGGCGACCCCAGGGAAAGUGCCACAGAAAGCAGACCGCCCGCGGCCUUCGGGCGGCGGGUCAGGGUGAAAGGGUGCGGUAAGAGCGCACCGCGCUGCCGGCAACGGGAGCGGCACGGCAAACCCCGCCGGGAGCAAGACCGAAUAGGGGCGACCGGCGAGCCGCUUCGGCGGGCUCGCAAGAUCCGCUUCCGGAUCGUCGCCCGGGUUGGUCGCUAGAGGCGUCCGGCGACGGACGUCCCAGAGGAAUGGCCGUCACGUCUGUGUCGGGAAACCGGCGCGGGCCAUACAGAACCCGGCUUACAGGCCGACUGGCGCC